AUACGGAGGGUCCAAGCGUUAUCCGGAAUCAUUGGGUUUAUAGGGUCCGCAGGCGGUCAAUUAAGUCAGAGGUGAAAGCCCAUCGCUCAACGAUGGAACUGCCUUUGAUACUGGUUGACUUGAGUUAUACGGAAGUAGAUAGAAUAAGUAGUGUAGCGGUAAAAUGCAUAGAUAUUACUUAGAAUACCGAUUGCGAAGGCAGUCUACUACGUAUAUACUGACGCUGAGGGACGAAAGCGUGGGGAGCGAACAGGAUUAGAUACCCUAGUAGUCC
Molecule: ribosomal RNA, 274 nt
Filed under: uncultured bacterium
Lineage: Bacteria
Description: partial 16S ribosomal RNA
Rfam family: Bacterial small subunit ribosomal RNA
Source: RNAcentral